CUAGCGGGGCACGAGCUCAUUUGUUCAAAACCCCACCCAAGCGUUUUACAACCUCGGAUUUUGGGCCACUAUCUUCUCUUUCUCUACGCCAUGGAUAGAAUAUGAAACUCAGAGGGCACAACAAAGACGUUUUUGGAUGCCAGGGUUGCUCUGUUCUGUGCAUCUCUGCCUAUCACAGAGGACACAGACUACAUCUAUGAGACAGUUUAAGACAGUGAGGUUUACACCGUUAUGCUGCUACGAGAUCAUGAAGAUGUAUUUGCUGGAGACGUACAGGAUUUGAGCUGUUAACAGCAGAGAGCCUCAAGCCCAAAGCAUCUGAGGACGAUAGCGACUUGGAUAUUCAGUUCUCUAAAUUCAUCAGUGACUCUGACUCUGCCUUCUCAGAGUUCAGGUUGACUGAAGAGAGUGUGCUUCACUUGUCUCUGUUGGUCAAUAGUGAACAUUAUCAUUACUGUGGUGUGGGCUAGAGGUAAAAUAAGUAAUAGAAUUUAUGUUAAGAUAUUAAACAGUAAAAAAAUCUAAGUAAUAUAUAUUGUAAGUUCAAAUGUUCGUGGAAUUUUUUAUUUGAUGUAUUCACGUGAUUUUUUUUUUAAAUGUAGACCCACACAAUUGUUUCCCAAGGAGUCACUGAUCACUAUUGUUCCCAGUGAACAUUCACCAAUGACCAUUGUUCCCAACAACCAUUCACUGAUCACCAUUAUUCCCAGAGACCAAUCAGUGCACACUUUUCAAAUGACCAAUCACCGAUCACCAUCGUUCCCAAAGACCAGUCACUGAUCACCAUUGUUCAAAGGACCAAUCACCGUUGUUUCCCAACAGCGGAUCACCAAUUACCAUUGUUUCCCAAACACCAGUCACUGAUCACCAUUGUUCUCAACAACCAAUCACUGAUCACCAUUAUUCCCAAUGACCAACCACUGCUCACUAUACUUUCCCAAUGAUCAAUCCCUGAUCAUCAUCAUUCCCAGUGACCAACCACUGCUCACUAUACUUUCCCAACAACCAAUCACUGAUCACCAUUAUUCCCACUGACCAACCACUGCUCACCAUUGAAGUUAUUCCAUCUGUAAUAAUUUCCUUCUUGUCUAUUUCCGGACUGUUCUUAUAAAUAAGUUACAAAUACAUAAAUAGU
Long non-coding RNA from Pangasianodon hypophthalmus (striped catfish), 1135 nucleotides. RefSeq lists it as uncharacterized. The transcript is spliced from 4 exons. Lineage: Eukaryota; Metazoa; Chordata; Actinopteri; Siluriformes; Pangasiidae. The record is from RefSeq and is a predicted model, not a curated record.